AACAGCUGCCGGCGGCCCCACAGCACGGCUCCACCAAAUCCUCGCUCGGUGCUCCAAGCCUCGCACACACGCUCAGCAGGAGUCCAGGCAUGAACCAGGCUGGGUUGGGCUCUGCUGGUGCCCCAGGAUAAGAAAUGAAGGCUGCAUGGUUUUGCUCCAUCACUUGGUGUCCUCGCCGUAGGCCAUACACCUGCUCAGGUGCCCAUGGCAGUAGACUGCAGCUGAGACAAUUGCUGACUGGGGUCUGGUGCCCCCAACCUGGUCUCCACAAACAGGCCAGUGCUUCUGUGGUGAUGAGUGGUAUCUGGGAAGAGGGUGGAACCCAUACUUCAGCCUCUCAAAUCUCCUUCAUAUUUUCUUAUGAACAGGAACAUCUAUUUUACAGCUGUUGGAAAUACCGACUGCAGGGCAGACUGUUGCUGUCACCACAGUGCCAUCAUCUUCUGGAACACUUUGGGUAGCAAUUGUUUAACCUCUUAAAAAAAAAAAAUAAUUUAUUUGUCUAAUAACAAUGCCUAUUAUCACAUACCAAUCUAUGUUAAAAAUUAUAAUUCCUCAUGUAGGGAUGCCUGAACUGUAAUUCCUCAGCUUUAUAAUCCUGAAGGGAAAUGGCAGAAUAUUCCUUUUGAAAGGUGAAUAUUGUUAUUGUAUUGUAUUGUAUUGUAUUGUAUUCCCCAAACUGCUAGAGGCCCAGGGGUUUUGACUACAGCUCAGAAAUGCCGAGGUCCAGCCUUCUGCUCAUGUUACUAGCCAACAGCUGUGAUUUCUCCACAUUAGGCAGUGCUGAUCUGAUUUCCUUUAGCAAAAUGUGACAGCCUGCCGAACUCUCUAAAGCCAAGACAAUGAGAUUCCAUAAGGCCUAUUAGAAUGCAGUCUUUUGUAUAAGUCAGUGUCAAUAACCCCACUGCAUUGUAUGCCUCUUCUCUGUAAAAGAAAAGUGUUUUCUGCAGUGCAUUAGAACUGACGCACCUCACAGAUGCACUGCAGAUUGGUAGCUUUUUAAGAGGAAAUGUUAUUUGGUUUCAGUGAUAGCCAUACUUUACAUAAUGGAUGUAAUCUAUUACUUUUUGUGCAUACAGCAAACAGCUCUCGUAGCAAAAGUAAUAGAUUAAAUUUAUUAUCAUUGUCUUCCUCUAAUAAAAUAAGUGUGCUCUCCA
RNAcentral lists this long non-coding RNA (1157 nucleotides) under Anser brachyrhynchus (Pink-footed goose). RNAcentral's name for it is "lncRNA (ENSABRG00000014681.1)". The record is from RNAcentral. Lineage: Eukaryota; Metazoa; Chordata; Aves; Anseriformes; Anatidae.